GACGAACGCUGGCGGCGUGCUUAACACAUGCAAGUCGAACGGAAAGGCCCUGCUUUUGUGGGGUGCUCGAGUGGCGAACGGGUGAGUAACACGUGAGUAACCUGCCCUUGACUUUGGGAUAACUUCAGGAAACUGGGGCUAAUACCGGAUAGGAGCUCCUGCUGCAUGGUGGGGGUUGGAAAGUUUCGGCGGUUGGGGAUGGACUCGCGGCUUAUCAGCUUGUUGGUGGGGUAGUGGCUUACCAAGGCUUUGACGGGUAGCCGGCCUGAGGGGGUGACCGGCCACAUUGGGACUGAGAUACGGCCCAGACUCCUACGGGAGGCAGCAGUGGGGAAUAUUGCACAAUGGGCGGAAGCCUGAUGCAGCAACGCCGCGUGCGGGAUGACGGCCUUCGGGUUGUAAACCGCUUUCGCCUGUGACGAAGCGUGAGUGACGGUAAUGGGUAAAGAAGCACCGGCUAACUACGUGCCAGCAGCCGCGGUGAUACGUAGGGUGCGAGCGUUGUCCGGAUUUAUUGGGCGUAAAGGGCUCGUAGGUGGUUGAUCGCGUCGGAAGUGUAAUCUUGGGGCUUAACCCUGAGCGUGCUUUCGAUACGGGUUGACUUGAGGAAGGUAGGGGAGAAUGGAAUUCCUGGUGGAGCGGUGGAAUGCGCAGAUAUCAGGAGGAACACCAGUGGCGAAGGCGGUUCUCUGGGCCUUUCCUGACGCUGAGGAGCGAAUGCGUGGGGAGCGAACAGGCUUAGAUACCCUGGUAGUCCACGCUGUAAACGGUGGGUACUAGGUGUGGGGUCCAUUCCACGGGUUCCGUGCCGUAGCUAACGCUUUAAGUACCCCGCCUGGGGAGUACGGCCGCAAGGCUAAAACUCAAAGGAAUUGACGGGGCCCCGCACAAGCGGCGGAGCAUGCGGAUUAAUUCGAUGCAACGCGUAGAACCUUACCUGGGUUUGACAUGGAUCGGGAGUGCUCAGAGAUGGGUGUGCCUCUUUUGGGGUCGGUUCACAGGUGGUGCAUGGCUGUCGUCAGCUCGUGUCGUGAGAUGUUGGGUUAAGUCCCGCAACGAGCGCAACCCUUGUUCACUGUUGCCAGCACGUUAUGGUGGGGACUCAGUGGAGACCGCCGGGGUCAACUCGGAGGAAGGUGGGGAUGACGUCAAGUCAUCAUGCCCCUUAUGUCCAGGGCUUCACGCAUGCUACAAUGGCUGGUACAGAGAGUGGCGAGCCUGUGAGGGUGAGCGAAUCUCGGAAAGCCGGUCUCAGUUCGGAUUGGGGUCUGCAACUCGACCUCAUGAAGUCGGAGUCGCUAGUAAUCGCAGAUCAGCAACGCUGCGGUGAAUACGUUCCCGGG
Molecule: ribosomal RNA, 1343 nt
Filed under: uncultured bacterium
Lineage: Bacteria
Description: 16S ribosomal RNA
Rfam family: Bacterial small subunit ribosomal RNA
Source: RNAcentral